RNAcentral lists this ribosomal RNA (607 nucleotides) under uncultured soil bacterium. RNAcentral's name for it is "bacterial SSU rRNA". It matches the Rfam family "Bacterial small subunit ribosomal RNA", at positions 56 to 709 of the family's 1533-position model. The record is from RNAcentral.
UGCAAGUCGAACGGAUCCUUCGGGAUUAGUGGCGGACGGGUGAGUAACACGUGGGAACGUGCCCUUUGGUUCGGAACAACUCAGGGAAACUUGAGCUAAUACCGGAUGUGCCCUUCGGGGGAAAGAUUUAUCGCCAUUGGAGCGGCCCGCGUCUGAUUAGCUAGUUGGUGAGGUAAAGGCUCACCAAGGCGACGAUCAGUAGCUGGUCUGAGAGGAUGAUCAGCCACAUUGGGACUGAGACACGGCCCAAACUCCUACGGGAGGCAGCAGUGGGGAAUCUUGCGCAAUGGGCGAAAGCCUGACGCAGCCAUGCCGCGUGAAUGAUGAAGGUCUUAGGAUUGUAAAAUUCUUUCACCGGGGACGAUAAUGACGGUACCCGGAGAAGAAGCCCCGGCUAACUUCGUGCCAGCAGCCGCGGUAAUACGAAGGGGGCUAGCGUUGCUCGUAAUUACUGCCCGUAAAGGGAGCGUAGGCGGACUGUUUAGUCAGAGGUGAAAGCCCAGGGCUCAACCUUGGAAUUGCCUUUGAUACUGGCAGUCUUGAGUACGGAAGAGGUAUGUGGAACUCCGAGUGUAGAGGUGAAAUUCGUAGAUAUUCGGAAGAACAC